AUUGAACGCUGGCGGAAUGCUUUACACAUGCAAGUCGAACGGCAGCACGGACUUCGGUCUGGUGGCGAGUGGCGAACGGGUGAGUAAUGUAUCGGAACGUGCCCAGUCGUGGGGGAUAACGUAGUGAAAAUUACGCUAAUACCGCAUACGACCUAUGGAUGAAAGCGGGGGAUCGCAAGACAUCGCGCGAUUGGAGCGGCCGAUAUCAGAUUAGGUAGUUGGUGGGGUAAAGGCCCACCAAGCCAACGAUCUGUAGCUGGUCUGAGAGGACGACCAGCCACACUGGAACUGAGACACGGUCCAGACUCCUACGGGAGGCAGCAGUGGGGAAUUUUGGACAAUGGGCGCAAGCCUGAUCCAGCCAUUCCGCGUGCAGGAUGAAGGCCCUCGGGUUGUAAACUGCUUUUGUACAGAACGAAAAGGUUUCUACUAAUACUAGGAGCUCAUGACGGUACUGUAAGAAUAAGCACCGGCUAACUACGUGCCAGCAGCCGCAGUAA
RNAcentral lists this ribosomal RNA (500 nucleotides) under uncultured bacterium. Its description in RNAcentral is "partial 16S ribosomal RNA". It matches the Rfam family "Bacterial small subunit ribosomal RNA", at positions 30 to 523 of the family's 1533-position model. The record is from RNAcentral.